This 331-nucleotide unclassified non-coding RNA is filed under the name soil metagenome. RNAcentral's name for it is "partial contains 5.8S ribosomal RNA, internal transcribed spacer 2, and large subunit ribosomal RNA". The stretch from base 1 to 120 matches the Rfam family "5.8S ribosomal RNA", at positions 35 to 154 of the family's 154-position model. The record is from RNAcentral.
GAUGAAGAACGCAGCAAAAUGCGAUAAGUAAUGUGAAUUGCAGAAUUCAGUGAAUCAUCGAAUCUUUGAACGCACAUUGCGCCCGCCAGUAUUCUGGCGGGCAUGCCUGUUCGAGCGUCAUUUCAACCCUCAAGCACAGCUUGGUGUUGGGCAACGCGGUCCGCCGCGUGCCUCAAAUCGACCGGCUGGGUCUUCUGUCCCCUAAGCGUUGUGGAAACUAUUCGCUAAAGGGUGUUCGGGAGGCUACGCCGUAAAACAACCCCAUUUCUAAGGUUGACCUCGGAUCAGGUAGGGAUACCCGCUGAACUUAAGCAUAUCAAUAAGCGGAGGA